Molecule: ribosomal RNA, 301 nt
Filed under: uncultured bacterium
Lineage: Bacteria
Description: partial 16S ribosomal RNA
Rfam family: Bacterial small subunit ribosomal RNA
Source: RNAcentral
CAGUCGCCGCGGUAAUACAGAGGGUGCAAGCGUUAAUCGGAAUUACUGGGCGUAAAGCGCGCGUAGGUGGUUUGUUAAGUUGGAUGUGAAAUCCCCGGGCUCAACCUGGGAACUGCAUCCAAAACUGGCAAGCUAGAGUAUGGUAGAGGGUGGUGGAAUUUCAUGUGUAGCGGUGAAAUGCGUAGAGAUAGGAAGGAACACCAGUGGCGAAGGCGACCACCUGGACUGAUACUGACACUGAGGUGCGAAAGCGUGGGGAGCAAACAGGAUUAGAGACCCCCGUAGUCCCUGUCUCUUAUAC